CGUGAGUGAAGAAGGCUUUCGGGUCGUAAAGCUCUGUCAAGUGGGAAAAAAAUCUGAUGAUUAAUAGUUGUCAGAUCUGAUGGUACCACUGGAGGAAGCACCGGCUAACUCCGUGCCAGCAGCCGCGGUAAUACGGAGGGUGCAAGCGUUGUUCGGAAUUACUGGGCGUAAAGGGCGUGCAGGCGGGUUGGUAAGUCAGAUGUGAAAGCCCUGGGCUCAACCCAGGAAGUGCAUUUGAAACUGCCAUCCUAGAGUAUGGGAGAGGAGAGUGGAAUUCCCAAUGUAGAGGUGAAAUUCGUAGAUAUUGGGAGGAACACCCGUGGCGAAGGCGACUCUCUGGACCAAUACUGACGCUGAGACGCGAAAGCGUGGGGAGCAAACAGGAUUAGAUACCCUGGUAGUCCACGCUGUAAACGAUGAGAACUAGGUGCAGCGGGUAUUGACCCCUGCUGUGCCGAAGUUAACGCAUUAA
Molecule: ribosomal RNA, 472 nt
Filed under: uncultured delta proteobacterium
Lineage: Bacteria; Deltaproteobacteria
Description: bacterial SSU rRNA
Rfam family: Bacterial small subunit ribosomal RNA
Source: RNAcentral